Molecule: long non-coding RNA, 357 nt
Organism: Mastomys coucha (southern multimammate mouse)
Lineage: Eukaryota; Metazoa; Chordata; Mammalia; Rodentia; Muridae
Exons: 3
Source: RefSeq, a predicted model, not a curated record
UCCUCUGCACGUGGCAGAGCCUCUGGGAGUGAGGAGUGCGGCAGCCAGAUUGACAGAGGAGAUGGAAGAGUUGCCUACACAAAGAUUUCACGAAGGGAUUACAUGUGCCACCAUGCUUGGUUUGUAGCCAAGGAUCACCUUGAACAUUUGAUAUCCUCUGCUUUCUCCUACCAAGUACUGGGACCAUCGGUAUGUGGCACCAUGUCUGUCCAGCUUUAUGCAGCCCUCAGAUGGGACUUCACUGUGCUGCCUGACCUGGAACUUGCCAUGUACAACAGGAUGGCCCUGAACUCAUAGAGAUCCAUCUGCCUCUGCCUCCAGAGUGCCUCUCAAUGUAAAGAAAUGGAUGCAGCUGGG